This 447-nucleotide ribosomal RNA is filed under the name uncultured bacterium. RNAcentral describes it as "bacterial SSU rRNA". It matches the Rfam family "Bacterial small subunit ribosomal RNA", at positions 335 to 800 of the family's 1533-position model. The record is from RNAcentral.
ACUCCUACGGGAGGCAGCAGUGGGGAAUCUUAGACAAUGGGGGCAACCCUGAUCUAGCCAUGCCGCGUGAGUGAUGAAGGUCUUAGGAUCGUAAAGCUCUUUCGCCGGGGAAGAUAAUGACGGUACCCGGUAAAGAAACCCCGGCUAACUCCGUGCCAGCAGCCGCGGUAAUACGGAGGGGUUAGCGUUGUUCGGAAUUACUGGGCGUAAAGCGCACGUAGGCGGACUGGAAAGUUGGGGGUGAAAUCCCGGGGCUCAACCUCGGAACUGCCUCCAAAACUAUCAGUCUAGAGUUCGAGAGAGGUGAGUGGAAUUCCGAGUGUAGAGGUGAAAUUCGUAGAUAUUCGGAGGAACACCAGUGGCGAAGGCGGCUCACUGGCUCGAUACUGACGCUGAGGUGCGAAAGUGUGGGGAGCAAACAGGAUUAGAUACCCUGGUAGGCUCUGC